This 1286-nucleotide long non-coding RNA is filed under the name Nicotiana tabacum (common tobacco). The record is from RNAcentral. Lineage: Eukaryota; Viridiplantae; Streptophyta; Magnoliopsida; Solanales; Solanaceae.
CCUCCAUUGGUAAGCUCUGCCCCUUCUAUUUUUAUUUUUCUAGCUGUGAAUUUCUUAAAAUUUAUUUGUGUUAAUAUCAUUUUGGCCAAUGAUUAAAAUUCUUUUAUAGACAAGCAUAUGUCUGAAUUUUUAUUGUGUUGUUAGCCUAAUCUUCUCUAUGAGGCCAAUAAAUAUUUAUUUAUUUUUAUUAUUCACUUUAAUCCUUUUUAUUAUAUUAUUAUUACUGGGUCAUAUGAUGAUUAGAAGCAUAGUUCAAAUGAAAUCUAUUGUGAUUUUAAAACUUCUUUUUAGUCUUUCGCUCCUAUCUGAUGACUCAUUCAUUAGUUUCACUUAGAUUAAAUAAAAUGUUGAAUAUUUAAAAAAAGCUGAUUUAUGCUGUUUAGGUAAAUUUUUUUGUUAAUUUUUUGCCAUUUAAAUAAUUAAUGGACAGUGACGACUCAUAUCAAUUGGUCUCGUUCGUCGUAAUGGUAUUUAAAAACUACCUUGACGACCAUUCUGAUAUAUCACCACCCAUAAACUGAGUCCUCCAAUUUAAAAUCUUAUGUUUAAUUCACUUUUUUUUAUUAUGUGUUUUGAUUUAAUUAAUUUUUUAAUGAUGCUCCUAAUUAGUAUAGGAAAAAAUAUGCUGUAUAGUCGCUUUAAAAGUUAAUAACCAAUUUUGUGUGUGUAUAUUAAUGUAUAAUAUACAAAAGUACUACGUAUUUUAUACAUAAUUAGUUUAUAGUUACUGUAUUGUUUUUGGUCCAUUGGUUAAAUGUGUAACUUGCCCAUUGUUACAAGUGUUAAAAUUUGAAAUUUUAUUCAAAAAUGCUUUAUUUUUGCUUUUCUGGUGCUGUGAUGAAAUGUUUUUGUGUCGGAGACUUUUGGUCAGUGAUGGUUUACACUAACCUCUAAGAAGUUCUGAGCACUUUGAUUUUUUUUUUACUAUUUUAAUAUUUUUAACUAUUAAAUUUCAGCACUUUUGAAUUAGUGCUAAAUAUUUAUUAAACGCAGUUUUUAAAUAUUAUUACAAUUUUAGCCAUAUUGAAUUUUAAUGGUUGUUUGAUGUUUGUAAUAGUUAUUAUUUAUUGAGGAGGAAAGAAGUGAUGAUAGAAUUCAUGUCUGUCAAUCCACUGAAUACAUUAUUAUGAUGUAAAGAGUGAAUCCCGACAGGUUCUGAUCUUUCAUUAACCUCCUAUUAACAAACAUUCCUUAGGGCAAAUGAUGAAUCUUAUAAUAUCGUAAAUGGGUAAUUUGCGUCUGAAUUUUUCAUUGAUGUUAUAACCUUGGAGAACUGAUGCCCUUAA